CCUACGGGGGGCAGCAGUGAGGAAUAUUGGUCAAUGGGCGGGAGCCUGAACCAGCCAAGUCGCGUGAGGGAAGACGGUCCUAUGGAUUGUAAACCUCUUUCGGCGGGGAGCAAUGCCGGGCACGUGUGCACGGAGGGAGAGUACCCGCAGAAUAAGCAUCGGCUAACUCCGUGCCAGCAGCCGCGGUAAUACGGAGGAUGCGAGCGUUAUCCGGAUUUAUUGGGUUUAAGGGGUGCGUAGGCGGAUUUUUAAGUCCGCGGUAAAAUGUCCGGGCUAAACCCGGGCCGACCGUUGAAACUGGGGAUCUUGAGUGGGCGAGAAGUAUGCGGAAUUCGUGGUGUAGCGGUGAAAUGCAUAGAUAUCACGAAGAACUCCAGUUGCGAAGGCAGCAUACCGGCGCCCGACUGACGCUGAGGCACGAAAGCGUGGGGAUCGAACAGGAUUAGAUACCCGGGUAGUC
Molecule: ribosomal RNA, 460 nt
Filed under: uncultured bacterium
Lineage: Bacteria
Description: partial 16S ribosomal RNA
Rfam family: Bacterial small subunit ribosomal RNA
Source: RNAcentral